This is a long non-coding RNA of Stomoxys calcitrans (stable fly), 680 nucleotides long. RefSeq lists it as uncharacterized. The transcript is spliced from 3 exons. Lineage: Eukaryota; Metazoa; Arthropoda; Insecta; Diptera; Muscidae. The record is from RefSeq and is a predicted model, not a curated record.
UCGAAGACAGUAUUGUUUUUAAGAUGGAAAAAUCCCAUCACUUUUUACUAUAUUGGCGUAAAUUAGUUCUAUUUUGAUUAUAUUGAUUUGCACAACACUGCGCCAAUAUUUUGUUCCAUACUGCAGCCCCCACCUCUACUGACGCUAUUGGCUGACGCUCUUCAAGUUUUUAAGUGGCUGCGACAUAUAUUGAAGGCGUGUUUAAAACCAGUUAUGAGAGUGGCUAGUUCGCCGAGAGUGGUUAUGAAGCAGAAUUUACGUACACUUCUCAAUAACUCACCACUAAGGCGAUAAGUUUUGCUUUUUCCAUCGCAUGCUUUAAGCACGGCUGAACAUGUGGGAGUGAUCUUGAAUACAAUUUGACAGGUCUGCGUAUGCAAUAGAUAUAUUUCGAUAAAAGUUCACACCGCAUAUAGUGGAAUUUAAGAUGUAGUUCAAAUGAUUCCUUCAUUGUGACGCUAAUCGAUUAAAAUUAUAGUACGUUGCAAGACUUAUCAAAAUUGGAUCAACAUGCAGUGGCGGACAAAACUAAGGCACCAUCUUCCAUUUCCUUCAAUAAAAAUUCGAAUAAUAACCUUCUUCGAGCACACUUCAAUUUUAUGAAAGUAAUAUCCUAAACACUUUACUCUAUCAAUAAUAUUUUUUUUUGCAUGUGGAAUACCAGUCGAAACCCAAACACA